RNAcentral lists this small RNA (2530 nucleotides) under Pongo abelii (Sumatran orangutan). Its description in RNAcentral is "retained intron". Lineage: Eukaryota; Metazoa; Chordata; Mammalia; Primates; Hominidae. The record is from RNAcentral.
GUUCAUGGCCAAAGAACAGAUUCAUGUGGGCUGUCUUUCAGAUUUCCUUAGAAUGAAGAUUUAGUUAACAAAGAACACACACGUCAGGGACAAGUUUGGUUUCUAAGAGUAAUUUGAUUUUAUUUCCUCAUACGACCUAAGAGAGGAAAUGAGCUCAAGGGGUGCUGUCCAGCACUCCAUUAGAGGUCAGCCAUGUGCAGAUUGGUUUCCUUAAAUAAUUCUCUCUAAACACCCUCCCCCAUCCACACGAUCCUUCCAGAAGUAGAAUUGCCGUGGUCACCAGUGAAGCAGCUGACCUGCUGGGUGCAGUUAUGGGAGAAAAAAUGGGAGACCACUAAGCAGUUUCUGAUCAAAUAAAGAUUUUUUAAAAGCCAGAACUUCCCAUUAUUUUUGCUUAGCUCUUUGGUAAGCUUUAAUUCCUCAUUUUUGUCUCUUCUUGAAAAUUAUCCUCAAAACCACUUCUGUAGAUGAGAAUGAAACGUUCGCCCUCUUUACAGGUCAAGAAACGGAGGCACAGUAAAGUUACGCUCACGUUUAAAGUUUCUCCACUGGUGACAACCUGAAUCAGAAUCCAAAUGUCCCAGCCCUUAGGAGUGUUUAGCCCAUUGUGUUUACUCACCCAGGAAAUAUUUUGUUUGGUUUUGUUUGUGUUUUGUUCUCUCUCUCUUUUUUUUUAAGAGACAGGGUCUCACUCUGUCACCCAGGCUGUAGUGCAGUGGUGUGAUCAUAGCUCACUGCAGCCUCAAACUCUGGGGCUCAAGAGAUCCUUCCACCUCAGCCUCCUGCGUACCUGGGACUGCAGGCAUAGACCACUGUGCCCAGAUAAUUUUUGUUAUUUUUUAUAGAGACGGGCUCUCACUAUUUUGCCCAGGCUGGUCUGGAACUCCUGGGCUCAAGUGGUCCUCCCGCUUUGGCCUCCUAAAGUGCAGAGAUUACAGGCACGAGCCACCAUGCCCAGCCUCACUCAGAAAAUAUUGAUUGAGUACCUACUAUGUGCCAGACAUUGGGCCUCACUGCAAAAGAGCCCUGUAGGCAGAAGAAACAGUUUGCUCAAAGGCCCUUGGGUGGAAAGGAGAAGUAAGGAGUGGGGUGAAGAGGAUGGCAUAAGGUUAGGCUGGGAUGGAACAGAAACCCAACACACACGGUCUUAAGGCCACGUGAAGGAUUUUGAACUCUCCUCUGAGUUUAAAAGGAACCCAGUACAUAGUUCUGAGCAGUGGAGUGACAAUAAUCAGAUUUGCAUCUUCCCCUUUCUGUGCAUACACCCAGCGUCUCUCUAGGGAUUGGGGACAGCCUAAGGUGGGAUAGAUGGUAAAAUGCCAGGCACCACCAGCCAUGACCGUCAAUUUGACUUAUGGGGAGAAAGUGAGCAUGCUAAGAACACAGACUCUAGAUGCAACAUCUGGAUUCAAUCCCAGCUAUGUGAGCUAGGGCACACUUCUGCCUCUCUGGAUCUCAGUUUCUGUGUCUGUAAACUGAGUGGUUGUGAUUCUACCGCCUAGGGUCAUGUGGGGAUUAAAUACGCCUAAGGUGCUCAGUCAAGUGCCUGGUACCAAGCAGAUGCUCUAAUGCACACUGGUCAUUAUCAAUGUUGAUCCCUGUCCGAUUUAUUCAUCAAUUCAUCCUGAUAAAGAAGGGGCCUUUGGGGCCAAGAGGCUGUUCUUAUUAAUUAAACGUCAUCCAUAAUAGCAUGUUGUGUCUCCUCCCAGCUGGCUGAAACCGGACAUGGGAAAGAAGGCCAAACACAAGACUCAAAUUAAAAAGAAAACUUUGAAUCCCGAAUUCAAUGAGGAGUUUUUCUAUGACAUCAAACACAGUGACCUGGCAAAGAAGUCACUGGACAUUUCAGUCUGGGACUAUGACAUCGGCAAGUCCAAUGAUUACAUCGGAGGCUGCCAGCUGGGGAUCUCUGCCAAGGGAGAGCGCUUAAAACACUGGUACGAGUGUCUGAAAAAUAAAGACAAGAAGAUAGAGCGCUGGCACCAGCUACAGAAUGAGAACCACGUGUCAAGUGAUUAGGCUAGUGCCCAGGUCCCCAACUCCAUGUCCCGGGUCCCCCCCAGCCUGCCCUAGCUGCCCACCGCACCCUGAUCUCUCUUCUCUAUGCCUACCUCCCCCCAUACCCUGCUGAUCUCCCUGAGCCUGCCUUUGAGCCCCCGUCACGUUGGGCACUGCUGCCAAAGACUCCCUCCUCCCUGAUGCUGGGAUGUGGGCUCUGAAUACCGCCCCUCUCUGGUCCCUGGGAUGGAGCAAUGGGGAUGGGGUUGGGGAGAUGUUUACAAAGAGGUUGAUCAUUUAAUAACCUCUCAGUUUGGGUAAAUUACAAAGGUUCUUCAUCAUUUAGGACUGUUUUUAGACCCUCCUAGCCUUGAACACACACAUGCACACACACACACACACACACACACACCCUUUCAUUCCCUGUGUUGUGUCUCUGUAUAUCCCCAGUUGUCAGCAGACCCGGACAAUGCUGUGAGAGAAGCACUGGGGCAGAAAUGGAGCCUCUAGGCUCCCACUGCCCCCUGAGAUG